Molecule: ribosomal RNA, 270 nt
Filed under: uncultured archaeon
Lineage: Archaea
Description: partial 16S ribosomal RNA
Rfam family: Archaeal small subunit ribosomal RNA
Source: RNAcentral
CUGCAGCCCGAGUGGUGAUCGAUUUUAUUGAGCAUAAAGCGUCCGUAGCCGGACUAGUAAACCCUUGGGUAAAUUGGGCAGCUUAACUGUCCAAAUUCCGAGGGGACUGCUAGUCUUGGGACCGGGAGAGGUCAGAGGUACUCAAGGGGUAGAGGCUAAAUCCUGUAAUCCUUUGGGGACCACCAGUGGCGAAGGCGUCUGACUAGAACGGAUCCGACGGUAAGGGACGAAACCCUGGGGCGCGAACCGGAUUAGAUACCCGAGUAGUCC